AAAGCCUAACGGAGCAAUUUCGCGUGGAGGUAGAAGGCCAACGAGUCGUGAACUUCUUUUCCCUGAGAAGAAGCAAUGACAAUAUCUAGGGAAUAAGCAUCUGCUAACUCUGUGCCAGCAAGCCCGAUAAUACAGAGGAUGCAAGCGUUAUCCAGAAUGAUUGGGCGUAAAGCAUCUGUAGGUGGCUUUUUAAGUUUGUAGUCAAAUCCCAAGGCCCAACCUUGGACAGGCGGUGGAAACUACUAAGUUGGAAUACGGUAGGGGCAGAGGGAAUUUCCUGUGGAGCGGUGAAAUGCGUAGAUAUCGGAAAGAACACCAACGGUGAAAACACUCUGCUGGGCCGACACUGACACUAAGAGACGAAAGCUAAGGGAGCAAAUGUGAUUAGAUACCCCAGUAGUCCUAGCCGUAAACGAUGAAUACUAGGAGCUGUGCUUAUCGACCCAUGCAGUGUUGUAGCUAACGCGUUAAGUAUCCCGCCU
Molecule: ribosomal RNA, 482 nt
Filed under: Prunus dulcis (almond)
Lineage: Eukaryota; Viridiplantae; Streptophyta; Magnoliopsida; Rosales; Rosaceae
Description: rRNA SSU_rRNA_eukarya
Rfam family: Bacterial small subunit ribosomal RNA
Source: RNAcentral